Molecule: ribosomal RNA, 403 nt
Filed under: uncultured bacterium
Lineage: Bacteria
Description: partial 16S ribosomal RNA
Rfam family: Bacterial small subunit ribosomal RNA
Source: RNAcentral
GACGAACGCUGGCGGCGUGCCUAAUACAUGCAAGUCGAACGCAGUGGGAAGGGGUGAGUAAAACGUGGGUAACCUCCCAUCAGAGGGGAUAACACUUGGAAACAGGUGCUAAACCGAUAUUGAAUGAUGGAGCCGCGGUGCAUGAGGCAGUUGGUGAGGUAACGGCUCACCAAGGCCACGAUGCAUAGCCGGCCUGAGAGGGUGAUCGGCCACACUGGGACUGAGACACGGCCCAGACUCCUACGGGAGGCAGCAGUAGGGAAUCUUCGGCAAUGGACGAAAGUCUGACCGAGCAACUCCGCGUGAGUGAAGAAGGUUUUCGGAUCGUAAAACUCUGUUGUUAGAGAAGCGGUAUCUAACCAGAAAGCCCCGGCUAACUACGUGCCAGCAGCCGCGGUAAUAC